GUUACAAAAGACCACCUUGCACCUCACAAAAAGUUUCUCACACCAAAACUCUAACAAUUACAAAAAAUGAUCUUUGAAGCAAAAGGAUAAGAGGAAGAUUUAACCUGAACAAACUCGGCAAGCCGCUCUUCACUUAGGGAAGGAAACUGGAUUUGGUUUCGGUAAGAGAAUAGAGAAAAUGAAGGAUUUUUUUCAUAGGGAUGAGAAUGUUCGACUGGUUUUAUAGAAGGGAGAGAAGGCAUGGAUUACUAAGAUAAGAAUGCUUAGAGAAAAUUGAGCGUGUAUUCUUUUCAUCUUUUAUGUUUAGAUUUUUUUUAAAUUAUUAAUUGUGUUUUCAAGAGCAUUGAUAAUUAGCAUUAUUUUGUGUGAUGAAGACACUGCCCAAGAUCUAUACCUCUGUCCAUUAUUUAAAGCUUUUUUACCGUCAUUAUGGAAAUUUACUCAUUUGUUUU
Lathyrus oleraceus (garden pea) is the source of this 452-nucleotide long non-coding RNA. RefSeq lists it as uncharacterized. Lineage: Eukaryota; Viridiplantae; Streptophyta; Magnoliopsida; Fabales; Fabaceae. The transcript has 2 exons. The record is from RefSeq and is a predicted model, not a curated record.